UGACGUGUAGCUUAACCGGCAAAGCACCGAGCUUUUAACUCGGGUGAUGAGAGUUCGACCCUCUCUGCGUCAA
This 73-nucleotide transfer RNA is filed under the name Flavobacteriaceae bacterium. RNAcentral describes it as "tRNA-Lys". It matches the Rfam family "tRNA". From Rfam's summary of the family: Transfer RNA (tRNA) molecules are approximately 80 nucleotides in length. Lineage: Bacteria; Pseudomonadati; Bacteroidota; Flavobacteriia; Flavobacteriales; Flavobacteriaceae. The record is from RNAcentral.